AACAAGCAGAAUAAUGAAGGGCUUUAAACUCACACUGUGAAUAUGUCUUCACGUGGCAGGUUCUUCAGCUCUGUGCUGUUUGGUGUCUGCUUAGAUUUCAUGUGUUUCUUCCUGUGGAUGAAAAGAAAUGAAGUCUGCUGCCAUGCCAACUGUGUGGCCAAGGAGCCGGGUGGGGAAGGGACAGAGAUACAGAGCCGGGUUGGUGCUGAUGGCAGUGAAAGGGCGUGUCGGUGCGUAAAGACAUGGCACAGAUGAUGAAUUAUAUCCCAAAGUGGCCAUCUGAAUGCAGAGAAGAGCACAGAUUUCCUGUGUGCCUACGAAUGGACCAGGCCUUGAAAGAGGAGCAGAUCUACAAGUCUUGUGAUUGAAGGGCAGGUAAGUUAUAUCUCAUGCAUUCGGUAAGGGCUCCUGGGACCUCCCACCCACCG
RNAcentral lists this long non-coding RNA (428 nucleotides) under Calidris pugnax (ruff). RNAcentral's name for it is "lncRNA (ENSCPUG00000003837.1)". The record is from RNAcentral. Lineage: Eukaryota; Metazoa; Chordata; Aves; Charadriiformes; Scolopacidae.